This is a non-coding RNA of Caerostris darwini, 82 nucleotides long. The record is from the annotation of a GenBank genome assembly. NCBI's taxonomy places the organism in Eukaryota, Metazoa, Arthropoda, Arachnida, Araneae, Araneidae.
AUAUACCGGUUCUUAGAUCACCGAAGUUAAGCAUCAUUGGGCGCGGUCAGUAUCAUUGGGUGACCACCUGGGAACACGGGUG